RNAcentral lists this long non-coding RNA (1467 nucleotides) under Homo sapiens (human). RNAcentral's name for it is "PREDICTED lncRNA (TCONS_00002821)". Lineage: Eukaryota; Metazoa; Chordata; Mammalia; Primates; Hominidae. The record is from RNAcentral.
CACCGCUCCCGGAAGCUCGGUGAACACGUAGUACAUCACGCUCUGGCCCGCCAUGAAGUGCUGCUCCGCCGUCUCCAGGAAGCGCUCCAGGUACUUCUCCAGUGACCCUCGCCUGCUCCUCCGUCACGGGAUCAUUGCAGCAGCACUCUUCAUGCUCCUGGUCACUUCCUCCACAACCCCAGAGUCAUCUCAUAACAAGUCAGCCUGCCUUAACAGUUUCCAUGUCACACAAACAGCUUGAGAGAGGCUGUGCAACUCACCCACAGCAGCCGCGAUCUGGGCCUCCUCCUAUGUUCCCCUGUUCAGACCCCUGCUCCAUGAACUGGGCGGACCCAUGUCCACUAAAGUGCUGAGGAAGUGACAGCGUGUGAUUUCUGAGGCUAGAUCAUAAAGGGCACAGCAGUUCUCACCUCACUCUUCUGCCUGGGUUACUGCAGAGUAAGCCAGCUACCAGUAAGCCACCCCAGCAACCCUUUGGAGAGGCAUGCGUGGAGAGCAGCCAAGGCCCUGGUGGUCCCCGGCCUCCUUGCCGUGUGAGUGAACCGUGCUGGAAGUGGGUUUUCUGGCUCCAGACCUCAGACACUGCAGCCUGUAUGGCGUCUUCCCUGAGACCUCAUAUGACCUCAAACUCAUACACUGGGUCUGUGGAAGGGAGCAGAUAACCUCUCUGUUUCUAGUUCUUAGACUAAGAGGAACUGGACACCAGGAGCCUCAUACCAGGACUGCCCAGCCGAGCCACUCGAUUCCUGACCCACAUGGCCCUUGAGAUGACAAGUGAUUGCUGCUUAAAGUCACUGAGUUCUGGAAUAAUUUACAUCAUGGCAAUAGGUAACUAAUGCAGAUUCUGGUACCUGGAAAAGGAGUGCUGACAUCAAACAGCUCUAUAGAUGUGGGCGUGGCCUCAGAACUGGCCACAGGCAGGAGCCAGAAGGACUCUGUGGAAAGCGUGAGUGUCUAAGGUGCUUUGAGAGACUGUAUAUAGAAGUCUCAUGGCCUUUAGGGAAGCUGCUGGGGAGGCCUAAAGGAAAGUGAGGAAACUCUUAGUGGAGAUUGGAAGAAACAGGGUCUCUGUUAUGAAAUAAAAGAACAUUUUGUAAAAAUGUGGUUGGUAGCAGAAAUGUAAGUUGAAUGUACCUCAUGAAGUGGGUGGUCUAGCUAAGGAGAUUUUCAGGCAGAAUGUGGAAGGUGUUGCUUGGCUUCUUACUGCUGCUCACAGUAAAAUAGGAGAGAGAGAAGGUAAAAACAAACAAACAAAACUGUUCAACAUAAAGGAACCGGGAUCUGCCGGUUUUAAAAAUGCCCAGCCUCUCCAGAUGGCACAUGAUGCUAACAUUAAGAAAUGGUUUCUAGGCAAAGAUCAAAUUCAGGGCACAGUCAAGAAAACACGGUCUACAGAUUAAACUUAGGAUGUGACUUAAAUCUUUUUGUGAAGACUUCAGAAAGAUCUAAAGUGAUGCCUCAAAGAGC